AUUGAACGCUGGCGGCAUGCUUUACACAUGCAAGUCGAGCGGCAGCGCGGGGGCAACCCUGGCGGCGAGCGGCGGACGGGUGAGUAAUGCAUCGGAACGUAUCCCGUAGUGGGGGACAACCCAGCGAAAGCUGGGCUAAUACCGCAUAUGCUCUACGGAGGAAAGCAGGGGACUCGCAAGAGCCUUGUGCUAUGGGAGCGGCCGAUGUCCGAUUAGCUAGUUGGUGGGGUAAAGGCUUACCAAGGCGACGAUCGGUAGCUGGUCUGAGAGGAUGAUCAGCCACACUGGGACUGAGACACGGCCCAGACUCCUACGGGAGGCAGCAGUGGGGAAUUUUGGACAAUGGGGGCAACCCUGAUCCAGCCAUGCCGCGUGCGGGAAGAAGGCCUUC
This 391-nucleotide ribosomal RNA is filed under the name uncultured bacterium. RNAcentral describes it as "bacterial SSU rRNA". It matches the Rfam family "Bacterial small subunit ribosomal RNA", at positions 28 to 419 of the family's 1533-position model. The record is from RNAcentral.